Molecule: long non-coding RNA, 557 nt
Organism: Arachis duranensis
Lineage: Eukaryota; Viridiplantae; Streptophyta; Magnoliopsida; Fabales; Fabaceae
Exons: 3
Source: RefSeq, a predicted model, not a curated record
GUGGAGAAUGAAGAGGGGUGCUCAUACUUGAUAGCAUUGAAAGGUUUGCUACGCAGGAGAGAUGGCGCUAUCACUUGCAUCCAUCCUACCAUCCAUUGGCAUGGAUAGGAGCAAGGUCUGUCAGCGUCAUCUCUUGUGCGUAGCGUACCUUUGCAUAUGCAAACUAAGGUAGUCAUUUCUACAAAUUUGCAUUCCAAUGUGGUAAUCCAAGGUUAACAGAUUUUUCCACUAGUAUGUUUGAUGGGGUGAUAAUACAAUCAACCACUCAUCUUCCAAGAUCCAAACAUGAUGAGUCAAAGUUUGCUUGAAAAUAUAGUUGGAAACUCAAGAUAGAUUUUAGAGUUGCAGAUGAGUGAGGAGCAAGAGAUGAAGAAAAUCAAAAGGAUGGAUCUAUGAGGUCCAAACAUUAGGAACAAACCAUCAAAGAAAAAGAUUGAUGAUACCUUCAUGGAGGAAAAUGAUGAAGCUUGAGUCAAUAUACUGAGGAACGAAGAGUGACCUUGGCUCCAUGGAGAUGAAUCCAAUAUGCAAGCGCCUCUCCAUAAGCUUAGCAUCAC